CCUGGAUUCUGGAAUGAGGGUGGAAACUGAACUCCCAGCCAAGCGGUGAUGGGGUGAUGGACGGAAAUGACAAAACUAAAAGAUUGUGAUGCUGGCAGACCAGAUCCGGGGACCCAGAGGUGGUCCCACAGAACCAGCUGAGAGAGUCCUUGGCUUCGGAUUGGAUGGAAAUCAAAUAUGAGCCAGCAGAAGAGAGAGAGAGCGUGAGAGAGCCAAGCAGGAGGAGUGGCAGAGGGAGAGGGAGAAGCAGACUCCCCCUUGAGCAGGGACCCCGAUGCGGGGCUUGA
This 287-nucleotide long non-coding RNA is filed under the name Mustela putorius furo (domestic ferret). Its description in RNAcentral is "lncRNA (ENSMPUG00000027672.1)". Lineage: Eukaryota; Metazoa; Chordata; Mammalia; Carnivora; Mustelidae. The record is from RNAcentral.